AUUGAACGCUGGCGGCAGGCUUAACACAUGCAAGUCGAACGAGUGGCGGACGGGUGAGUAAUGCUUGGGAAUCUCGCUUAUGGAGGGGGAUAACUACGGGAAACUGUAGCUAAUACCGCGUACCAUAGGAUGAGCCCAAGUGGGAUUAGGUAGUUGGUGAGGUAAAGGCUCACCAAAGCGACGAUCGCUAGCUGGUCUGAGAGGAUGACCAACCACACUGGGGCUGAGACACGGCCCAGACUCCUACGGGAGGCAGCAGAGGGGAAUAUUGCACAAUGGGGGCAAGCUACCGCAGCCAUGCCGCGUGAAUGAAGAAGGCCUUCGGGUUGUAGAAUUCUUUCGGUAGCGAGGCGUUAACUACAGAAGAAGCACCGGCUAACUCCGUGCCAGCAGCCGCGGUAAUUC
This 405-nucleotide ribosomal RNA is filed under the name uncultured bacterium. Its description in RNAcentral is "partial 16S ribosomal RNA". It matches the Rfam family "Bacterial small subunit ribosomal RNA", at positions 30 to 526 of the family's 1533-position model. The record is from RNAcentral.